RNAcentral lists this ribosomal RNA (453 nucleotides) under uncultured Acidobacteriaceae bacterium. RNAcentral's name for it is "bacterial SSU rRNA". It matches the Rfam family "Bacterial small subunit ribosomal RNA", at positions 933 to 1374 of the family's 1533-position model. The record is from RNAcentral. Lineage: Bacteria; Pseudomonadati; Acidobacteriota; Terriglobia; Terriglobales; Acidobacteriaceae.
UGGAGCAUGUGGUUUAAUUCGACGCAACGCGAAGAACCUUACCUGGGCUCGAACGGCUUCGGCAAGCCGGUAGAAAUACUGGCCCUCCAGCAAUGGAUCGGAGUCGAGGUGCUGCAUGGCUGUCGUCAGCUCGUGUCGUGAGAUGCUGGGUUAAGUCCCGCAACGAGCGCAACCCUUGUCCUGUGUUGCCAUCAUUAAGUUGGGCACUCUCAGGAGACCGCCAGCGAUAAGCUGGAGGAAGGUGGGGAUGACGUCAAGUCAUCAUGGCCUUUAUGUCCAGGGCUACACACGUGCUACAAUGACCGGUACAAUACGACGCCAACCCGCGAGGGGGAGCAAAUCGUAAAAAACCGGCCUCAGUUCGGAUUGCAGGCUGCAACUCGCCUGCAUGAAGCUGGAAUCGCUAGUAAUGGCAGAUCAGCAUGCUCGCCGUUCCGAAUACGUUCCGGCCUU